RNAcentral lists this ribosomal RNA (580 nucleotides) under Salmonella enterica subsp. enterica serovar Itami str. SA20014991. RNAcentral's name for it is "bacterial SSU rRNA". It matches the Rfam family "Bacterial small subunit ribosomal RNA", at positions 1 to 568 of the family's 1533-position model. The record is from RNAcentral. Lineage: Bacteria; Pseudomonadati; Pseudomonadota; Gammaproteobacteria; Enterobacterales; Enterobacteriaceae.
UUAAAUUGAAGAGUUUGAUCAUGGCUCAGAUUGAACGCUGGCGGCAGGCCUAACACAUGCAAGUCGAACGGUAACAGGAAGCAGCUUGCUGCUUCGCUGACGAGUGGCGGACGGGUGAGUAAUGUCUGGGAAACUGCCUGGUGGAGGGGGAUAACUACUGGAAACGGUGGCUAAUACCGCAUAACGUCGCAAGACCAAAGAGGGGGACCUUCGGGCCUCUUGCCAUCAGAUGUGCCCAGAUGGGAUUAGCUUGUUGGUGAGGUAACGGCUCACCAAGGCGACGAUCCCUAGCUGGUCUGAGAGGAUGACCAGCCACACUGGAACUGAGACACGGUCCAGACUCCUACGGGAGGCAGCAGUGGGGAAUAUUGCACAAUGGGCGCAAGCCUGAUGCAGCCAUGCCGCGUGUAUGAAGAAGGCCUUCGGGUUGUAAAGUACUUUCAGCGGGGAGGAAGGUGUUGUGGUUAAUAACCGCAGCAAUUGACGUUACCCGCAGAAGAAGCACCGGCUAACUCCGUGCCAGCAGCCGCGGUAAUACGGAGGGUGCAAGCGUUAAUCGGAAUUACUGGGCGUAAAGCGC